GAUGAACGCUGGCGGCGUGCUUAACACAUGCAAGUCGAACGGGAAAUACUUUAUUGAAACUUCGGUCGAUUUAAUCUAUUUCUAGUGGCGGACGGGUGAGUAACGCGUGGGUAACCUGCCUUGUACUGGGGGAUAACAGCCAGAAAUGGCUGCUAAUACCGCAUAAGCGCACGGAGGCGCAUGUCUCUGUGUGAAAAACUCCGGUGGUAUAAGAUGGACCCGCGUUGGAUUAGCUAGUUGGCAGGGCAAUGGCCUACCAAGGCGACGAUCCAUAGCCGGCCUGAGAGGGUGAACGGCCACAUUGGGACUGAGACACGGCCCAGACUCCUACGGGAGGCAGCAGUGGGGAAUAUUGCACAAUGGGGGAAACCCUGAUGCAGCGACGCCGCGUGAAGGAAGAAGUAUCUCGGUAUGUAAACUUCUAUCAGCAGGGAAGAUAAUGACGGUACCUGACUAAGAAGCCCCGGCUAACUACGUGC
Molecule: ribosomal RNA, 479 nt
Filed under: uncultured bacterium
Lineage: Bacteria
Description: bacterial SSU rRNA
Rfam family: Bacterial small subunit ribosomal RNA
Source: RNAcentral